Molecule: transfer RNA, 75 nt
Filed under: Candidatus Caccovivens faecavium
Lineage: Bacteria; Bacillati; Bacillota; Clostridia; Eubacteriales
Also listed under: 1 other name
Description: tRNA-Arg
Rfam family: tRNA
About the family: Transfer RNA (tRNA) molecules are approximately 80 nucleotides in length.
Source: RNAcentral
GCUCCCAUGGUGAAAUGGAUAUCACAAUCGACUUCGGAUCGAUUUUCGAGGGUUCGAAUCCUUCUGGGAGCACCA